CCUACGGGGGGCAGCAGUGAGGAAUAUUGGUCAAUGGGCUUACGCCUGAACCAGCCAAGUCGCGUGAGGGAAGACUGCCCUAUGGGUUGUAAACCUCUUUUGUCAGGGAGCAACGCCGGCUACGUGUAGCCGGACUGAGAGUACCUGAAGAAAAAGCAUCGGCUAACUCCGUGCCAGCAGCCGCGGUAAUACGGAGGAUGCGAGCGUUAUCCGGAUUUAUUGGGUUUAAAGGGUGCGUAGGCGGAAUGCCAAGUCAGCGGUAAAAUCGCGGGGCUCAACCUCGCUCCGCCGUUGAAACUGGCGUUCUUGAGUGGGCGAGAAGUAUGCGGAAUGCGUGGUGUAGCGGUGAAAUGCAUAGAUAUCACGCAGAACUCCGAUUGCGAAGGCAGCCGCCUGGCCUGUUGACUGACGCUGAGGCACGAAAGCGUGGGGAGCAAAUAGGAUUAGAUACCCGAGUAGU
RNAcentral lists this ribosomal RNA (460 nucleotides) under uncultured bacterium. Its description in RNAcentral is "partial 16S ribosomal RNA". It matches the Rfam family "Bacterial small subunit ribosomal RNA", at positions 338 to 794 of the family's 1533-position model. The record is from RNAcentral.